Molecule: ribosomal RNA, 167 nt
Filed under: uncultured Actinomycetes bacterium
Lineage: Bacteria; Bacillati; Actinomycetota; Actinomycetes
Description: uncultured actinobacterium partial 16S ribosomal RNA
Rfam family: Bacterial small subunit ribosomal RNA
Source: RNAcentral
CGGAGGAAGGUGGGGAUGACGUCAAGUCAUCAUGCCCCUUAUGUCUUGGGCUGCAAACAUGCUACAAUGGCCGGUACAAAGGGCUGCGAACCUGUGAAGGUAAGCGAAUCCCGGAAAGCCGGUCUCAGUUCGGAUUGGGGUCUGCAACUCGACCCCAUGAAGUCGGA